AUUGCUGGAAAAAAAUCAGAUGUUCUACCGGUCUAAUGCAUGUCUCUUUUCGGGUAAAUUCUAGAACGCAUUCUAUGCGAUAUUUCUACUAAACAUGCCUCAAUUGCACAUUGUUACCGUCUACAGUUUAUAUCGGCUCCCCCCAUCGCUUCCCCACCGUAUUUGUGCAGCCCUUCUCAUUCCAAGAGUUAUAUGCAAGCAAUGUCAAAGCUGUCAAAACGGCCCGCAAACAUAGAAUAACAACAAAAGAUGUCACAUGGAAUGCUAUUAUUACUGGCCACUGGCAAAACGGGUUUCCCGAAGAAUCAAGGAUGUUUUAAAAAAUGCUGGUUAAAAUAGUUUCCUGGAAAAUCAGGAUAGCUGUCUGCAAUCAGAAUGAGAACAUUUACAAAGUCCAUGACUACCCUCCAGCUAUGCUAGAAAGAAAUACUGUCUCAUCAAUGCAAUGAUAUCAGGUUUUGUGAAAUAUGGUCGCUUAAAGAAGCUAGCUGGCUCUUUGAAGAAAUGCCAAGGGAAUUGCUUGAUCACAUGCAAUGCAAAAUUGCUGUUUCUUGGACACUGUUGAUUAGGGGAUGCAGAUUUGAGGAAGCUGGAAAAUUGCUUGAAGAGAUGCCAGAAACCAAUAAAAAUGUUGUAUUGGUUCGGCUAUGAUUAUGGGGUCCUGUACGAAGGGGGAGUUGGAACAUGCUAGAUUUCUGUUUAAACAAGUUCUGAAUAAGAUCUUGUGUCUUUUAAUACAAUGAUAAGCGGUUAUGCACAAAUUAAUGCUGGUGAAAAAGCAUUGAGUUUCUAUUCAAAGAUCCUGGGAUGGGCUUGCUACCAGAUCAGGCAACCUUGUUUCAGUUUUCACUGACUGUUUCACUCUUGUAUCUCUUGAAGAGCAGCAUUUGCUCACCAUGGACUCUAUGAGAAAGCUCUUAAUUUUUUCAGACAGAUGACUUGGAAUGGCUUUGAACCAGAUUGGAUUACUUUUCUUAGUUUGCUGUCUGCUUGUGGACAUGCAGAGAAGGUAAAAGAGAGCACAGAUUUGUUUGACUUGAUGGUAAAAGAUUAUGGAAAUCUCCAUAGAUCUGAACACGCACUUGCUUGGUUGAUAUAUUGAGUCAAGCUGGGCAGUUGGAGAAGGCCUGUCAGAUUAUUCAAGUUAUGCCAUUAGAAUCUGACACUGGGGUCUGGGGUGUUCUUCUUGCUGCUAAUAAUAUUUAUCUAAAAGUGGAAUUAGCAGCCAAGAAAAUUACGGAUUUGGAUUGUCUUAACCCAGGGCCUUAUGUUAUGCUGUCCAACAUAUAUGCUGUGGCUGGAAUUUGGAGAAAAGCUACUAGAGUAAGGGAUCUAAUGAAAGAGCAAUGAGUUAAGAAACAAGAAGAUUAUAGCUGAAUGGAAAUCGAUAAUAAAGUGCAUUUUUUCCUUUGGGGUUUGGUGUAUCUCAUCCAGACACUGGCAAGAUUUAUUUGGAACCAGUUCACUCAAGAAGUCAAUGGAUGAUAUUGCAGAAAUUGUUUCAUCGACAUACAAACUUUUUGAUGUGACGGGUUGUAUCUUGAUGGAAUAAAAUCCUUGGUAGGAAAGGCUCGAAUUAAUUCAGUUAAUUCCAAAGUGCAUGCAUAUAAGGAUAAGAGGAAGCUUUUUAGUGGGGGAACUGGGAAUGGUAAAAUAAUUAUUACCGAGGCCUGAUGUCUUGGAAACUUGAGUAGCAAUCGGUAGAGAAACAGAGAGGGUAAUUUGUUUCAUGUCUCGCUUGUGAAGAGUGAAGUGCCACCAAUUGAUAAAUAUAUUUGUUUGAUGUACUUCUAUUGGCUGUGCAAAUGCUUUACGUAGACCAUUGAAAUACAGAGCCAGCAAUAACAUACAGGAUUGAAAACUUCUGGAGCUGGAUAGUGCAAGACUGGAACAUGGAAUUUCAGAGUUGAGGGUGUUUUUAAGAUGAUACGGAAGCAUAACAGAUAGAGAGGUAUUGUAUACACACCAUUCACAUUAACAAAAUGAAUCAUUGUUGUUACAGUGAUAACAAUGGCUGCCCAAUGGCCACGGAAGAUACUAAAUUGGCUAAUUAUUAUUAUUCUUAUCAUCUCUAGUUACAGAUAGACUAAUUUGUGAGCCAUAUCUUUAUGGCAGGUUAAGUUGUGUGACUUCCUGUUGUACUCAGCUUAUCUAUGUAGUCCAAUAUCAGAUGUUCAAUUA
Long non-coding RNA from Mangifera indica (mango), 2181 nucleotides. RefSeq lists it as uncharacterized. The transcript is spliced from 2 exons. The record is from RefSeq and is a predicted model, not a curated record. Lineage: Eukaryota; Viridiplantae; Streptophyta; Magnoliopsida; Sapindales; Anacardiaceae.